This 380-nucleotide ribosomal RNA is filed under the name Pteraster pulvillus. Its description in RNAcentral is "eukaryotic LSU rRNA". It matches the Rfam family "Eukaryotic large subunit ribosomal RNA", at positions 1372 to 1719 of the family's 3401-position model. Lineage: Eukaryota; Metazoa; Echinodermata; Asteroidea; Velatida; Pterasteridae. The record is from RNAcentral.
UCCCGACGAGUAGGAAGGACGCCACGGUGAGCUUUGAAGCGGUCAGGGCGAGAGCCCGCGUGGAGCCGCCGUGGGUGCAGAUCUUGGUGGCAGUAGCAAAUACUCCAGCGAGAACCUGGAGGGCCGAGUUGCGGAGAAGGGUUCCAUGUGAACAGUAGUUGCACAUGGGUCAGUCGAUCCUGAGCUCUAGGGAANUUCCGCUCUGAGCGGACGCGGCCGUGACCGUCGGCUCCCGCCGUGGACCGGUGGACGUCGCACCCUGGGCGAAAGGGAACCGGGUCAAUAUUUCCCGGACGMACAGGCRGAGUCUGCCGUGGUUGGCUCGGGACCCGUUCUCCUGCGGGGCGGUNUCGGGUGGGCCCGGACAAAAGGUGUCAAAG